GAAGAGUUUUCUUUUUGAUGUCGGUUAAGGUAGGUUGGAUCGAUCUAUCGAUCGUCAGUACCUCUACCUAGGUGAUGGGUUUUACGAACGGAGAGAGUAGUACUGGUAUGACUAGUACUGGUACUACCGGUGGAGGCGGCGUCAACGCAGCAGCCUACGUCGCCACGAGCUUCCUGUUCGUUCUCGUGAGGAGCAGACCUUUCUAUCGGAGCUGUUGGUUUCGGUCGUUCCGGACGCGAGGACCCCUUUGUGCAGCUGCGGAACGUUGACCGCGCCGUAGUCAACGCUAUAGUCACACGUGGCUGUUGUCGUAACCGGCCACUAGUUGCCGUAGAGAGAUACCCCAUACGCCGACUCUCCCCGAGACCUCAGGGAGUUGAAGAGCCGGAACUCCUGGAACUGUGCGGAGCUGGAGAGCGUGUUGGAGGAGCGACCCUCGUAAGGAGGAUCAUAGCUCCAGGAACCGCUCGAGGUACGAGAGGAAAACGUUCCGUUGGUCUAUUCUCCGAGUUAGGGUGAUCCAGAUCCUUUAGAGUGUUUUAAUGUAAGGAAUUACGAAGUACUUUUACUUGAGAAGCCACUUUAUGAUUCAGUCUAUCCGUUGAACUCAUCAGAACAGUGGGAGUUGAACAGUUUGUUAGUGAAUCAACCAGUAUAGGGAACACUUUAUCCUGUGUACUUCGUGAAUCAACGUAAUCUAAACAGGUCAUUACUAGAAAAACCAUUUUAUGGUUCGUCGUAUCCACCAAACUGGCUUGAGUGAUCGAACAUGGAAAUGCCAUUAGCUGAAAGACCUGUUUAAGGUGCUCUUGAUCCAAUAGAAGAUUUGAAUUUCCUGGACGUUGAACCGUAGUUGUGUGACAGCCCAAAGUAAGGUGCUUUAAAUGUAUUAAACUGGUUCGAGUGACACAAUUAAGAUCCCCCUUUGUUUGAAAGGCCCAAUUAAGGUGUUUUUUAUCUAAUGGAAAGCUUGAAUCUCAUGGACCUAGAACCACUGUUGUAUGAGGGCCCAAGGUAGGGUUUAUCGUAUCCUUUAAACUGGUUUGAGUAUCGCAACAUGUAAAAGCAGUUGGUUGAAAGACCUGUGUAAGGAGCUCUUGAUCCAAUAGAACUCUUCAAUCUCGCCAACAUAGAACCGUGAUUGUGGAAUUAACCAAGGUAGGGCUUAUCAUAUCCUUUAAACUGGUUUGAGUGUUGGAACAAGGAAAUGUUGUUGGUUGAAAGACCUGUGUAGGGAGUUCUUGAUCCAAAGGAACUCUUGUAUCUCUCCAACUGCGAAUCGUCUUUGUACGAUUGUUCGAGGUAGGGUUUAUCGUAUCCUUUAAAUUGGUUUGAGCGUAGGAACCUGUAAAAGUACUUGGUUUAAACACCUGUGUAGGGAGCUCUUGAUCCAGCGGAACACUUGAAUCUCUCAAACCUAGAACCGUUAUUGUGGGAUUGACUACGGUAGGGUUUAUCGUAUCCUUUAAACUGGUUUGAGUCUCCGAACAUGGAAAUGCUGUUGGUUGAAAGACAUGUGUAGGGAGCUCUUGAUCCAGCGGAACUCUUGAAUCUCGUCAACCACGAAUCGUUGUUGUGUGAUUGUCCAAAGUAGGGUUUAUCGUAUCCUUUAAACUGCUUUGAGAUGUAAAACAUGGAACUAUUAUUGGUUGAAAGAUCCGUUUAAGGUGUUCUUGAUCCAAUAAAUCAGUCGAAUAUGAUGAACCCCGAAUCGAUGUUGCGUAACUGUCUAAGGUAGGGUUUUUUUGAUCCGUUAGAGUGUCUUGAGCGACAGAACAUGGAGCUGUUAUUGUUUAAAAGGCCGGUGUAAGGUGCUCUUAAUUCAAUAAACCGGUUGAAUUUCACCAACAGAGAAUCUUUAUUACGUGAUUGUCCAGGGUAGGGUUUAUCGGAACCGUUAGACUGUCUUGAGUUUUCCAACCUGAAACCGGUCUUGGUUGAAAGCUCCGCUUAAGGUAUUCCUUAUCGAACCAACAACUUAAAUCUCAUGAAAAUCUCGAAUCAUUGUUGUGUGAUUGUCUAAAUUGUUGUUUGUCGGAUCUGAUAGGACAUCUUAAUAGAAAGAACUCUUUAAAGUGUUCUACCGGGACAGGAGUAGGUGGGGAGGACGACGAGGAGAGGAGAGGGCGUCGCGUUCGAGGAGGACGCGUUCGAGGAGGACGGCCUGGGUAGAGGAGGCGGAGGUACCACGACGACGUUUUCGAGGAGAAGGCACGAGCAGGAGUGGCGGCGGUGUCGGGUGCGGGAGCGGCGGCCCAUUGAGUUGCGGUCGCACGAGUGAUCGCUGAUCCGGUGGUAGUAGCGCUACAGGUGCGGCCGCCGGGGAAAGCGGGUGCGGUGGCUGCAGUAACAGUAACGGCGCGAGAGGACGCCCCUGCGCGCGGACCCGGCAGGGGCUUCGCCGGCGGCGGAGGCUCCUGUCCCGGCUGGAGUCCUCCUAGGAUGAUCCCAGGAGGUUGGCGCGCCGGUGGCAGCAGGGAUUCCGCCAGAGCAAGAGGUUCCAUCACCCCUCGCCGCGCCCGAGUUACGAGGCCAUGACUUCGAGCCCUACGGUGACCGGCACGUCGAACGUGCCAUCCACGUAAGCUACACGUUGGGGUCGCGCCGCGGCGAGGCCGGGUGACGAAGACACGAUUACGACGAAUCCCUAGCCUAGUACGAAGAAACGCACCUAAGACGAGGACAACAAACGAGGGACGGACGUGAACAGGAUUUGACCUCAGGGAUGGAUGUCUCAUUUCACUCCUUUCGAUGCCUGUCGUCGUACACUUAAUCGCUCCUCCUCUAAGGGAUUUCAAGGGUUCGCUAAUGGGGGACUACGACGGCCAAAUGCAGCUGACCUUUUUCCGUCGGCUCAGGUUGCGGUAGUAUAAGGCCGCACCCAUAAGCUGACUCUCGGUUUUUCCGGAUGACAACCAUCUCUUUGAACUAAUGGACGUCAGCUCCGCCGCUCAAGUGUAGAAGUCUCAACCGGCGCAUGACGCGUCUAGUACCGCAAGUCGCCGUAGAGUGGCGUGGAAUGAGGGGCGUCGUCUUGCCCCACCAUCUCUCCGCUUUGGUCUGCCAGCACCCGUACCGAGCCUCGUACGAGUUCCGGUACUUACACGGACGACUCAACACCCCCCUCCGUCAGUGAGUGGUGCCGACAGAUAGAAGCACGACUUACGGUUGAUGACACGCAUACUAAAAUGAGACAGGCUGAGAUAUGCUACGGAUUAGAUCACCACACGACGGCAAACCUAGUCCUCAACUUCGCGAGCUAGACGAUACAGCAUACUUUAACCUGUUCGUUCUCAGCAUGCGUAUCGUUCUGAGCACGACUUAUCUAGCAUGUGGUCUUCGCAGGUUCCGUUCUGACAAACUCCGUACCAUACUGCCGUUCGGUCUACACGUAAAUAACGCGCAAAAACCAACGUCCCGAGUGCGUUUCUAGUGCUCCGGGAGCAACUUCUUUGAACUGCGGGCGUCGAGAGGGCCGCCACUACGAACCCAUGCUCGGCCCGCCGUUCCGCAUGGCCGAGAUGCUAGGGUGGCGGUUCACACACUAACACAGGGCACUACACCACAUGCUCCUUCCUGCAGGGACACUGACCCUGAGGACGUCGCUGGUGCCGCGCCUCUGGUGUAAGUGGUCCCAAAACGUGCCCUUCCUCUUCUCGUGUUCCUCGUCAGGUAAGUUCUCUAGACACAUUGACUCCCCGUGGCCGUCCGACUAAGAACCAUACAUGCAACUACUAGAUUAACAGUGGCCUCGUCUAUGUCCACUUCGCUGUGACAAGUUCCUCGUCUACUACUCGUUCAAAUUCUACUCACACAACCUUAACUAGAUGCCAAUAUUGUUUGACUCUGUUUCUUCCCCUCCUAAACGUAGGGGUCAUGUACGGGACUAGCCCCCGUAACUGGGUUGAAAACCAAAACCAGGGACAGGGGAAGCGUGGUGAAUGUUUUACUCCUCCAGCAUGGGGAACCCCACAUUGUGUGCAUGCCCAAUCGUGGGCCAAUGAGGAUUGUCGGCUAGGACUUUCCCACGAAUUCCCCUAGUCUUCUGGUGGUGGUGGCGGCCGGUGGAGGUCCAGGCACGGCCGCCGUAGGAAGUACAGACGAUGUAACGGACGACUACGGGAAGGAGGGCUGCUAGAAGAGUGACGACCUCUACGAUUCCACCUCGGUCCCCGAUAGGACAAUUACCUAGUUCUAUAAGUGCUCACUAGAUCCACACGAAUCGAUGAUGGAGCCGUAUCUUCAACUAGUUUCGUCGAGCCCGUAGUAGGACAGAGUUCCUCUUAUGCGGUCGUUCGACAACCUGUUCCGCCCGUACCCUCUGACGUUGGGACGUGUGUUGGGGUACCUCGGCGCGGACUUCGACUCGUUCUUCACGGGCUCAGGUGGAUGUCUACGGUGCAAAAUGUCUUCGCACCAACCCUCAGAGACGAUAGUACAUGUGUGUGCCUGACUGUAUUGGAAACAACAACCUAUAUAGUCGGCUAAGUACCUCCACGGGUGCUGUCUUGUGGAACGACGACAGUUCGUAGAAAAGGCGAUGUAUCGACCGUGGUUUCUAAACCCUACGUUCAUGUGACGGUCACCUCUCGAAGCGGACGGAACAAAGUCACUAAGUCUGUACCGGCCACUACAACUACUAGCCUUUUCGUGGUGCCCUCGGGUAAAGGACGAACCCCGCUCGGACUAGAGUACCGUCAGUGUCUUCGUCUUUCACCACCGGGAUAGCUCGACACUUCGCCUCAUGUAACGUCGGUACUGGUCGCGUACAGUUCCCCACACCGACUUGUCUGUCAACGUCCUGGACGAGCUCCCACCACCGGCACGGUGGUGUUAAGGCCACCUGUUGUUCAGGCGGUAAGUCGACACGUUUUGGGGCCAUAAGGUGUUGGUCUCGUUCGUAUAACUCGAAGUGAAGGUAAAGUAGGCACUCACGUAGCUACUACCUUUCUAAAUACAGCUGGUGUAGUUGUGACCGCUAGUCGAACGCCUAUAAGAGUGGUCUAGCGAGCGAGCUUGGUCUAAACACUAGUUGCAGUUCAUUCGUCGGUGUGAUCGAAUCCCCCUCAUACAAUCGUUUAUUUGGUCACACCGAACUAAUCAUCAAACCGUCGCAAAAUAUCGACUUUGAAAGAAGUCAUCAAAGUCAAUCGUCAAAAGAGGUCGUCGAUGUCUUCAAAGUCAAGUUGACAAUCGCUUCGGACUCCUGCACCCAACAUGCUAGGGCUCCGCGUAAACAUCCGGACAUUCCUCAGCACCCUACCGUGCUAUGCCAUUCUCCCGUUCUGGACGCCGUAUCAACAAAAGACAAUCUCUUUAUUUUCCGUUUCUCUUUUCGUCGUAAGUGACGCGACGUGGUUUUGAAGUCACAAGAAAGGCAAAGAAGAAGAUGGAACCCAUAUAUAUAUCUCUCUCUCUCGUCUCCCUCUAACUCUCCUUAACACUCACGACCGUCUCUAGUGUCUGACCCAUUGUGGUGGUACUACGUCUUUAAGUUCACGAAAAAGCUACACUUCCUGUCAAUUCUGACUUAUAACAGUGUGAACGGAUGCCUUGUUAACCUCGAUGUCUCACAAUACUAUGUCAUGAAUGGUUCUCCAAUCCGUAGCUUAUGAUUGAUCUUCUAGUUGUAGUUUGCUUCAGUCUUUUGCUACUUUUAAACGCCACUAAAAAAGACCUGGUUUUCCCUGUGAUCUUCGAAGCCCUCUUCCGCUCUGUACGAUGCCCUCUCGGUACUCGAGUGUCCCGCGCGGGGAGAUUCGAGCACCCGGGGUGAAUCGAGGUCUCCUUCGUCCUCCGACGCCGAUGCGAAGAUACCGCUUCUGGGGGAACAUCCAUGUCUUCUGUCUCGUCUCCGUCUAGGGACCGAUCCAUGUACUCUCUCUCCUUGUCUGUACUGUACCCGCUAAAAAAAGAUUGGAAUCGUACGUAGUGGUACCAGGCCACCGUGCCCUCUAUUUUGUCCCCUUUCUUCUCUCCCUUGUACUCUCUUC
This 5993-nucleotide ribosomal RNA is filed under the name Triticum aestivum (bread wheat). RNAcentral's name for it is "partial small subunit ribosomal RNA". Lineage: Eukaryota; Viridiplantae; Streptophyta; Magnoliopsida; Poales; Poaceae. The record is from RNAcentral.